Molecule: ribosomal RNA, 433 nt
Filed under: uncultured bacterium
Lineage: Bacteria
Description: partial 16S ribosomal RNA
Rfam family: Bacterial small subunit ribosomal RNA
Source: RNAcentral
AACGAACGCUGGCGGCAUGCCUAACACAUGCAAGUCGAACGAGACCUUCGGGUCUAGUGGCGCACGGGUGCGUAACGCGUGGGAACCUGCCCUUAGGUUCGGAAUAACUCUCCGAAAGGGGUGCUAAUACCGGAUAAUGUCUUCGGACCAAAGAUUUAUCGCCUUUGGAUGGGCCCGCGUUGGAUUAGCUAGUUGGUAGGGUAAAAGCCUACCAAGGCGACGAUCCAUAGCUGGUCUGAGAGGAUGAUCAGCCACACUGGGACUGAGACACGGCCCAGACUCCUACGGGAGGCAGCAGUGGGGAAUAUUGGAAAAUGGGCGAGAGGAUGAUCCAGCAAUGCCGCGUGAGUGAUGAAGGCCUUAGGGUUGUAAAGCUCUUUUACCCGGGAUGAUAAUGACAGUACCGGGAGAAUAAGCUCCGGCUAACUCCGUG